UUCGAUUAAGCCAUGCGAGUCUAAGGGGUACUUGUACCCCUGGCAUAAUGCUCAGUAACACGUGGAUAAUCUACCCUUAGGUGGGGCAUAAACCCGGGAAACUGGGGCUAAUUCCCCAUAGAUACAGAACGCUGGAAUGCCUCUGUAUUCAAAGCUCCGGCGCCUAAGGAUGAGUCUGCGACCUAUCAGGUAGUAGUCAGGGUCACGACCUGACUAGCCAACGACGGGUACGGGGUGUGAGAGCACUUGCCCGGAGAUGGUUUCUGAGACACGAAACCAGGCCCUACGGGGCGCAGCAGGCGCGAAAACUUCGCAAUGCGGGAAACCGUGACGAGGGAACUCCAAGUGUCUAUGCAAUGCAUAGACUGUUUUUCAGCCUAAAUAGCUGUUAGAGUAAGGGGUGGGUAAGACCGGUGCCAGCCGCCGCGGUAACACCGGCACCCCGAGUGGUAGCCACUAUUAUUGGGCCUAAAGCGUUCGUAGCCGGUUUAGUAAAUUCUUGGGUAAAUCGUACAGCUUAACUGUGCGGAUUCCGGGGACACUACUAGACUUGAGACCGGGAGAGAUUAGAGGUACUUGCAGGGGAGCGGUGAAAUGUUGUAAUCCUGCAGGGACCACCAGUGGCGAAGGCGUCUAAUCAUAACGGCUCUGACGGUGAGGAACGAAACCCUGGGGCGCAAACGGGAUUAGAUACCCCGGUAGUCCAGGGCGUAAACGCUGCUGACUUGGUGUUGGAGAUCCUACGAGGGUGUCCAGUGCUGGCGCGAAGGUAUUAAGUCAGCCGCCUGGGGAGUACGGUCGCAAGACUGAAACUUAAAGGAAUUGGCGGGGGAGCACUGCAACGUGUGGAGCGUGCGGUUUAAUUGG
Molecule: ribosomal RNA, 867 nt
Filed under: uncultured archaeon
Lineage: Archaea
Description: bacterial SSU rRNA
Rfam family: Archaeal small subunit ribosomal RNA
Source: RNAcentral